AUGAGCCGCCCCUCGCCGGCGCCCGCGCUGGACGGCGGGGUCCUCCUCGAAGAGAUCCUCCUCCGCCUCCCUCCGCAGCCCUCCUCCCUCCCGCGCGCAUCCCUCGUGUGCACGCGCUGGCGCCGCAUCCUCUCCGACCCCGGCUUCCGCCGCCGCUUCCGCGAGCACCACGGCCGGAACAACCCACCGCCACUGCUCGGCUUCUUCGAAAAGGAAUUCCGCGUAGACAAGCCGCCCAUCUUCAACACCACGGCGACGGGCGAGCGGGACCGCAUCCCACCCGCGCGCUUCUCCGCGCCAUGGAGCCUGGGCGAGGGCUGGGAGUUUCUCGGCUGCCGCCACGGCCUCGCCCUCCUCAUCUGCCGGGCGCGCCGCGAGGCAAUCGUGUGGGAUCCCCUCACGGGCCACCGUCGCCGCGUCGCGUUUCCACCGGGGUGGAAGUCCGUCCAGAACGCCGCGGUGAUGUGCGCCGCCGCCGGCCAAGAUGGGCAUGUGCACGGUGACUGCCGGUUCUCCCCAUUUAGAUUGGCCUUGGUGCGCGGGGGUUCUAACGGCACACGCCAUUUUGCAUGCCUCUACGAGUCAGAAUCAGGUGUGUGGGGGGAUAUUGCUUCAGUAGAGACUGAACAUUCGACUUCGACUUGCAUUGCGAACCCCAGCGUCCUGCUUAGGAAUUCAUUUUGCUGGCUUCUGUCUGGAGGUGCCAUCCUGGAGUUUGAUUUUCAAAACCAGAGCCUUGCGGUUAUCCAGAAGCCGGCGGACGCUCAUGCUGCCGACUACUACUGGUCCUUUUACGUGGUACAGACAGAGCAUAGUAGCCUGGGCCUUGCUGUUUUGUCAGAGACAGAUUUUGUAAGCAGCAUCAUCCAAUUAUGGGAGAGGAAAUCUAACUGCGAUGGUGUUGUUGGAUGGGAGCUGCAGAAAACCAUUCAACUAGACGGGCUCUUUUCACCAGGACCGACCAUGGGGCAAAAUGCGGUGAUGAUGCAAGGGUACAAUGAGGACACCGAUGCGAUUUUCUUAUCUACCUUUUUCGGCAACUACAUGCUCCAGCUUGAGACCACACAGUUCACAAAUCUUCCUAAAACACGAAGAAAUUGCAUGUCUAGCAGGACCUUUUAUCCCUACAGAAAUUUCUACAUUACAUGUAGCAGAGUUGGUGGUCAAGAUGGUGGAGCUGAAAUGUCAAUUAAUUAG
Molecule: ribosomal RNA, 1197 nt
Filed under: Triticum aestivum (bread wheat)
Lineage: Eukaryota; Viridiplantae; Streptophyta; Magnoliopsida; Poales; Poaceae
Description: partial small subunit ribosomal RNA
Source: RNAcentral